UGAGUACGAGCUGCUACGGCAGCGAAGUGGGUGACGUCAAGCUUCCAAGAAAAGCCCUACACCCGUUAAGGCAUGAUGGCCUGUACCCGAAACCGACACAGGUGGGGUGGUAGAGAAUACCGAGGGGCGCGAGGUAACUCUCUCUAAGGAACUCGGCAAAAUGGCCCCGUAACUUCGGGAGAAGGGGUGCCACCGCAAGGUGGUCGCAGUGAAGAGGCCCAGGCGACUGUUUACCAAAAACACAGGUCUCCGCUAAGUCGCAAGACGAUGUAUGGGGGCUGACGCCUGCCCAGUGCCGGAAGGUUAAGGAAGCUGGUCAGCGCAAGCGAAGCUGGCGACUGAAGCCCCGGUGAACGGCGGCCGUAACUAUAACGGUCCUAAGGUAGCGAAAUUCCUUGUCGGGUAAGUUCCGACCCGCACGAAAGGCGUAACGAUCUGGGCGCUGUCUCGGAGAGAGGCUCGGCGAAAUAGAAUUGUCUGUGAAGAUGCGGACUACGUGCACCCGGACAGAAAGACCCUAUGAAGCUUUACUGUAGCUUGGUAUUGUGCCCGGGCUCUGAAUGCGCAGGAUAGGUGGGAGGCUUUGAUCCAUUGCUUGUGGGUGAUGGUGAGCCAACGGUGAGAUACCACUCUUUCAGAGCUAGGGUUCUAACGGUCACCCGUUAUCCGGGGACCGGACAGUAUCAGGUGGGCAGUUUGACUGGGGCGGUCGCCUCCUAAAAGGUAACAGAGGCGCGCAAAGGUUCCCUCAGGCUGGUUGGAAAUCAGCCGAUGAGUGUAAAGGCAGAAGGGAGCUUGACUGUGAGACCUACAAGUCGAACAGGGACGAAAGUCGGCCUUAGUGAUCCGACGGUUCUGAGUGGAAGGGCCGUCGCUCAACGGAUAAAAGUUACUCUAGGAUAACAGGCUGAUCUCCCCCAAGAGUUCACAUCGACGGGGAGGUUUGGCACCUCGAUGUCGGCUCAUCGCAACCUGGGGCUGAAGUCGGUCCCAAGGGUUGGGCUGUUCGCCCAUUAAAGCGGUACGCGAGCUGGGUUCAGAACGUCGUGAGACAGUUCGGUCCAUAUCCGGUGCAUGCGCAGGAAUAUUGAGAGGAUUUCUCCCUAGUACGAGAGGACCGGGAGGAACGCACCUCUGGUGUACCAGUUAUCGUGCCAACGGUAAACGCUGGGUAGCCAUGUGCGGAGUGGAUAACCGCUGAAAGUAUCUAAGUGGGAAGCCCACCUCAAGAUGAGUAUUCCCAUGGCGUUAGCCAGUAAGGUCACGGGCAGAACACCCGUUGAUAGGCUCUACGUGGAAGCCGGGUAACCGGUGAAGCGGAGGAGUACUAAUAGACCGAGGGCUUGACC
RNAcentral lists this ribosomal RNA (1349 nucleotides) under metagenome. Its description in RNAcentral is "bacterial LSU rRNA". It matches the Rfam family "Bacterial large subunit ribosomal RNA", at positions 1564 to 2925 of the family's 2925-position model. The record is from RNAcentral.